ACGCUCGACACUACGGGAGGUAGCAGUUAGGAAUAUUGGGCAAUGGAGGAAACUCUGACCCAGCAACGCCGCGUGAAGGAAGAAGGUUUUCGGAUUGUAAACUUCUGAUCUAGGGGAAGAAGGAAGUGACGGUACCCUAGGAGAAAGCCACGGCUAACUACGUGUCAGCAGCCGCGGUAAUCUGAGCGGGCUGGCAAGGC
This 200-nucleotide ribosomal RNA is filed under the name uncultured bacterium. Its description in RNAcentral is "partial 16S ribosomal RNA". It matches the Rfam family "Bacterial small subunit ribosomal RNA", at positions 326 to 539 of the family's 1533-position model. The record is from RNAcentral.